CCUACGGGCGGCAGCAGUGAGGAAUAUUGGUCAAUGGGCGAGAGCCUGAACCAGCCAAGUCGCGUGAGGGAGUACUGCCCUAUGGGUUGUAAACCUCUUUUGUCGGGGAGCAAAAGCCGGACGUGUCCGGCUGUGAGAGUACCCGAAGAAAAAGCAUCGGCUAACCCCGUGCCAGCAGCCGCGGUAAUACGGAGGAUGCGAGCGUUAGCCGGAUUUAUUGGGUUUAAAGGGUGCGCAGGCGGGUUUUUAAGUCAGCGGUAAAAUCGUGGGGCUCAACCCCGUCCAGCCGUUGAAACUGGGGAUCUAGAGUGUGAGAGAGGUAUGCGGAAUGCGUGGUGUAGCGGUGAAAUGCAUAGAUAUCACGCAGAACCCCGAUUGCGAAGGCAGCAUACCGGUGCACAACUGACGCUGAGGCACGAAAGCGUGGGUAUCGAACAGGAUUAGAUACCCUUGUAGUU
RNAcentral lists this ribosomal RNA (458 nucleotides) under uncultured bacterium. Its description in RNAcentral is "partial 16S ribosomal RNA". It matches the Rfam family "Bacterial small subunit ribosomal RNA", at positions 338 to 795 of the family's 1533-position model. The record is from RNAcentral.